Hippopotamus amphibius kiboko is the source of this 245-nucleotide long non-coding RNA. RefSeq lists it as uncharacterized. The transcript is spliced from 4 exons. NCBI's taxonomy places the organism in Eukaryota, Metazoa, Chordata, Mammalia, Artiodactyla, Hippopotamidae. The record is from RefSeq and is a predicted model, not a curated record.
GCUCUUUAUUGGAAUAUAAUUGCUGUACACUGUUGUGCCAGUUUUUCCUGUACAACAAGAGAACACAAGCCUUGGCAUCCUACAAGGUCAAACGCUGCAAGCGCUACCUGUGAAUUCUGGGUGAAUCAAACCAGUGGUGAGGGGAAACAGCAACUGGGAGCUGCUGGAAAUGAAACUAAGGUGACGCCCCAGACUCCGGAGUCCAAGGUCUUGGCCAGCAGUGGCAGAUACAGGGAGAAGGCGGG